AUACGUAGGUGGCAAGCGUUGUCCGGAAUUACUGGGUGUAAAGGGAGCGUAGGCGGGAAGAUAAGUUGGACGUUUAAUCUAUCGGCUCAACCGAUAUCAGCGUUCAAAAAUGUUUUUCUUGAGUGAAGUAGAGGUAAGCGGAAUUCCUAGUGUAGCGGUGAAAUGCGUAAAUAUUAGGAGGAAAACCAGUGGCGAAGGCGGCUUACUGGGCUGUAACUGACGCUGAGGCUCGAAAGCGUGGGUAGCAAACAGGAUUAGAUACCCUGGUAGUCCACGCUGUAAACGAUGACAACUAAAUAUUGCCGCGAGGCAGUGUUGAAGCUAACGCAUUAAGUUGUCCGCCUGGGGAGUACGGUCGCAAGACUGAAACUUAAAGGAAUUGACGGGG
This 388-nucleotide ribosomal RNA is filed under the name uncultured bacterium. Its description in RNAcentral is "partial 16S ribosomal RNA". It matches the Rfam family "Bacterial small subunit ribosomal RNA", at positions 523 to 918 of the family's 1533-position model. The record is from RNAcentral.